RNAcentral lists this transfer RNA (87 nucleotides) under Pedosphaera sp. Its description in RNAcentral is "tRNA-Leu". It matches the Rfam family "tRNA". Rfam says of the family: Transfer RNA (tRNA) molecules are approximately 80 nucleotides in length. Their secondary structure includes four short double-helical elements and three loops (D, anti-codon, and T loops). Further hydrogen bonds mediate the characteristic L-shaped molecular structure. tRNAs have two regions of fundamental functional importance: the anti-codon, which is responsible for specific mRNA codon recognition, and the 3' end, to which the tRNAs corresponding amino acid is attached (by aminoacyl-tRNA synthetases). tRNAs cope with the degeneracy of the genetic code in two manners: having more than one tRNA (with a specific anti-codon) for a particular amino acid; and 'wobble' base-pairing, i.e. permitting non-standard base-pairing at the 3rd anti-codon position. The record is from RNAcentral. Lineage: Bacteria; Pseudomonadati; Verrucomicrobiota; Pedosphaerae; Pedosphaerales; Pedosphaeraceae.
GCCGAUGUGGCGGAAUUGGCAGACGCGCUAGACUCAAAAUCUUGUGGCCUAACGGCCGUGUGGGUUCGACCCCCUCCAUCGGUACCA